RNAcentral lists this ribosomal RNA (234 nucleotides) under uncultured bacterium. RNAcentral describes it as "partial 16S ribosomal RNA". It matches the Rfam family "Bacterial small subunit ribosomal RNA", at positions 102 to 334 of the family's 1533-position model. The record is from RNAcentral.
CCGACGGGUGAGUAACGCGUAUCCAACCUGCCGUCUACUCUUGGACAGCCUUCUGAAGGAAGAUUAAUACAAGAUGGCAUCAUGAGUCCGCAUGUUCACAUGAUUAAAGGUAUUCCGGUAGACGAUGGGGAUGCGUUCCAUUAGAUAGUAGGCGGGGUAACGGCCCACCUAGUCUUCGAUGGAUAGGGGUUCUGAGAGGAAGGUCCCCCACAUUGGAACUGAGACACGGUCCAA